RNAcentral lists this transfer RNA (83 nucleotides) under Blattabacterium sp. (Mastotermes darwiniensis) str. MADAR. Its description in RNAcentral is "tRNA-Leu (CAA) (tRNA-Leu-CAA-1-1)". It matches the Rfam family "tRNA". Rfam says of the family: Transfer RNA (tRNA) molecules are approximately 80 nucleotides in length. Their secondary structure includes four short double-helical elements and three loops (D, anti-codon, and T loops). The record is from RNAcentral. RNAcentral also lists the same sequence under 1 other name. Lineage: Bacteria; Pseudomonadati; Bacteroidota; Flavobacteriia; Flavobacteriales; Blattabacteriaceae.
ACCCAGAUGGCGGAAUAGGUAUACGCGCUGAACUCAAAAUUCAGUGAUGUAAAAUCAUGCGGGUUCGAAUCCCGCUCUGGGUA